Molecule: ribosomal RNA, 528 nt
Filed under: Aspergillus versicolor
Lineage: Eukaryota; Fungi; Ascomycota; Eurotiomycetes; Eurotiales; Aspergillaceae
Description: eukaryotic LSU rRNA
Rfam family: 5.8S ribosomal RNA (bases 159-312)
Source: RNAcentral
GCUCGAGUGCGGGCUGCCUCCGGGCGCCCAACCUCCCACCCGUGACUACCUAACACUGUUGCUUCGGCGGGGAGCCCUCUCGGGGGCGAGCCGCCGGGGACUACUGAACUUCAUGCCUGAGAGUGAUGCAGUCUGAGUCUGAAUAUAAAAUCAGUCAAAACUUUCAACAAUGGAUCUCUUGGUUCCGGCAUCGAUGAAGAACGCAGCGAACUGCGAUAAGUAAUGUGAAUUGCAGAAUUCAGUGAAUCAUCGAGUCUUUGAACGCACAUUGCGCCCCCUGGCAUUCCGGGGGGCAUGCCUGUCCGAGCGUCAUUGCUGCCCAUCAAGCCCGGCUUGUGUGUUGGGUCGUCGUCCCCCCCGGGGGACGGGCCCGAAAGGCAGCGGCGGCACCGUGUCCGGUCCUCGAGCGUAUGGGGCUUUGUCACCCGCUCGAUUAGGGCCGGCCGGGCGCCAGCCGACGUCUCCAACCAUUUUCUUCAGGUUGACCUCGGAUCAGGUAGGGAUACCCGCUGAACUUAAGCAUAUCAA